AGCAUAUCAAUAAGCGGAGGAAAAGAAACUAACAAGGAUUCCCCUAGUAACGGCGAGUGAAGCGGGAAGAGCUCAAAUUUAAAAUCUGGCAGUGUAUUCUGUCCGAGUUGUAGUCUAGAGAAGCAUCAUCCGUGCUGGACCAUGUACAAGUCUCUUGGAACAGAGCGUCAUAGAGGGUGAGAAUCCCGUCCUUGACAUGGACUCCCAGUACUUUGUGUUGUGCUCUCAACGAGUCGAGUUGUUUGGGAAUGCAGCUCAAAAUGGGUGGUAAAUUCCAUCUAAAGCUAAAUAUUGGCGAGAGACCGAUAGCGAACAAGUACCGUGAGGGAAAGAUGAAAAGCACUUUGGAGAGAGAGUUAAACAGUACGUGAAAUUGUUGAAAUGGAAACGCUUGAAGUCAGUCGCGUUGUCUGGGAUUCAGCCUUGCUUUUGCUUGGUGCAUUUCCUGGUCUACGGGCCAGCAUGAGUUUCGACCAAUGGAAAAAGGCUUGGGGAAUGUGGGACUUCGGGUGUGUUAUAGCCCUUUGUCACAUACGUUGGUUGGGAUUGAGGUCUUAGUGCACGCUUCGGUUGUGCUUUGAUGCUGGCGUAAUGGCUUUAAACGACCCGUCUUGAAACACGGACCAAGGAGUCUAACAUGUCUGCAAGUGUUUGGGUGCAAAACCCGAGCGCGCAAAUGAAAGUGAUAGUUGGGAACCUCAUUAGAGGGGCACCGACGCCCGGACCAGACCUUCUGUGACGGAUCCGAGGUAGAGCAUAUAUGUUGGGACCCGAAAGAUGGUGAACUAUGCCUGCAUAGGGUCAAGCCAGAGGAAACUCUGGUGGAGGCUCGUAGCGAUUCUGACGUGCAAAUCGAUCGUCAAAUGUGGGUAUAGGGGCGAAAGACUAAUCGAACCAU
RNAcentral lists this ribosomal RNA (898 nucleotides) under Thanatephorus cucumeris. Its description in RNAcentral is "eukaryotic LSU rRNA". It matches the Rfam family "Eukaryotic large subunit ribosomal RNA", at positions 37 to 943 of the family's 3401-position model. The record is from RNAcentral. Lineage: Eukaryota; Fungi; Basidiomycota; Agaricomycetes; Cantharellales; Ceratobasidiaceae.